This 258-nucleotide long non-coding RNA is filed under the name Mytilus galloprovincialis (Mediterranean mussel). The record is from RNAcentral. Lineage: Eukaryota; Metazoa; Mollusca; Bivalvia; Mytilida; Mytilidae.
UAUGCUCUUCAACUUUGUAUUGUUUGGCUUUAUAACUAUUUUGAUAUGAGCGUCACUGAUGAGUCUUAUGUAGACGAAACGCGCGUUUGGCGUACUAAAUUAUAAUCCUGGUACUUUUGAUAACUAUUUACAUCACUGGGUCGAUGCCACUGCUGGUGGACGUUUCGUCCCCGAGGGUAUCACCAGCCCAGUAGUCAGCACUUCGGUGUUGACAUGAAUAUCAAUUAUGUGAUCAUUUUUAUAAAUUUCCUGAUACAA